AAACGACUCUCGGCAACGGAUAUCUCGGCUCUCGCAUCGAUGAAGAACGAAGCGAAAUGCGAUACUUCGUGUGAAUUGCAGAAUCCCGUGAAUCAUCGAGUCUUUGAACGCAAGUUGCGCCCGAAGCCUUUUGGCCGAGGGCACGUCUGCCUGGGUGUCACGC
RNAcentral lists this ribosomal RNA (163 nucleotides) under Viola rossii. Its description in RNAcentral is "5.8S ribosomal RNA". It matches the Rfam family "5.8S ribosomal RNA". Rfam says of the family: 5.8S ribosomal RNA (5.8S rRNA) is a component of the large subunit of the eukaryotic ribosome. It is transcribed by RNA polymerase I as part of the 45S precursor that also contains 18S and 28S rRNA. Functionally, it is thought that 5.8S rRNA may be involved in ribosome translocation. Lineage: Eukaryota; Viridiplantae; Streptophyta; Magnoliopsida; Malpighiales; Violaceae. The record is from RNAcentral.